CUGGCCUACGGGGGGCAGCAGUGAGGAAUAUUGGUCAAUGGUCGGGAGACUGAACCAGCCAAGCCGCGUGAGGGAUGAAGGUACAGAGUAUCGUAAACCUCUUUUGUCAGGGAACAAAGGCGGGGACGUGUCCCCGGAUGAGUGUACCUGAAGAAAAAGCAUCGGCUAACUACGUGCCAGCAGCCGCGGUAAUACGUAGGGGGCAAGCGUUAUCCGGAUUUACUGGGUGUAAAGGGAGCGUAGACGGCGCGGCAAGUCUGAAGUGAAAGGCAGGGGCUUAACCCCUGAACUGCUUUGGAAACUGC
This 305-nucleotide ribosomal RNA is filed under the name uncultured bacterium. Its description in RNAcentral is "bacterial SSU rRNA". It matches the Rfam family "Bacterial small subunit ribosomal RNA", at positions 332 to 636 of the family's 1533-position model. The record is from RNAcentral.